CAUCAAUUCAUUCUUCCCCUUAACAUAAACGCCGACCGCCUGCUGUAUCCAAGGCGCACUGCUGAGCAUGUGUCGGAUGCAGAGAUCCUCUACAAUUUGGAAAGUGAUCCCUUGAGACAAUGGGUUCCAUUUUUGAGUGCUUUUUCUAUACCUCCCAGACUAAGAGAUUUGGAAAUGGGGCAACUUCUGCUCAUCAUUUAAUAUUUAACUCAGGAUUCUCCUCUCUGUGUACCUUCUGUGACUUGUGAACAUGGAUCCAACCCCUCCCUCUUAUGUACUGAAAUUGUACCUGGUACACACUUCUAUACAACACUUACAUUGUGUCACAGUAAUACACUGACUUCCUUCAGGUCUUGUAAAUUGAGGAGAGAGAAUCAGUCCAAUGGAUGGCCAAUCCCAUGGUUGGCACAUAGAAGGCACUUACAAAAGUUUAUUGAAUUGAAAUGGAAAUUUCACCUUAAAAAAUAUUUUUAAUCAUUAACAAAGUUGGAGCUUUAUACACAAAAGAUAAUAAAGGAAGAAAAUAGCAAAAAGACCAAGAAAUAGCUAUCUAUGGCUGAUUUAACUUGUUUACCAUCAGAUGCUUUAUUUUUAUUCCUGCUAUCAAACGUGUGCCCAUCUCCUGAAGAGGUGUAAUUUCAAAAGCCAUAAAUUCUUUUCUCUUUACAUCACAAAAGAGAGAGGACAAAAUCAGCGAUCAAGGGAAAGCAUGAGACAGACAUGCCCUUGGAGAAGCCACAGCCUGUCUCUGGUGACCACGACUAAUAGGAGCCAAGAAGGUCAAAACCCUGCACCACAGCAUCUGUGACUCAGGUCCCAAGUACACGGGGCCUGAGGAGGCUCUGGUUGCAUUCAAGACAUGAUGGAUAUUUAAGAUGCCAGUGACAUAAUCUGACAAAAGUCCGUUUUCUUCUAUCUGAGUGCAAAGCUGAAGUCCAUUCUCAGAGACAUGAAAAUCAAUCACUGUGCAGCUUCCUAGAGAGUCAAGUAACAGGUCCCUUCUGGGCCCUCCCAGAUCAUUCCUAAGCAAAAGCUAGAUUGCUUUUCUUCUCUCCUUCAAAUAUGUUUAACCAUCACGUGAACUCAAUGCAUCCCAACGGCCCCCACAGCUCGUGUCCACAUGGUGUCGUUACUGAGUCCUUUGUAUCAGCUCCAGUUCUUCUCUCUUCAGGUUUUGAGCAGAAAGGAAGUUCUCCGGAGCCUUAUUGCAUGCUCAUCUCCACCUGCUCUCUGCAGAAGUUUCCAGAUUGCUCCUCAUUCAGUUUUGGAAAAUUGGCCUUAAUGUUUAUCAAAUAUCUACUCUGUAUCAGACAUAAGGCAUAUGCAUACAUGCAUCAUUUUAUUUAGUCUUCAUGACAAGUGGGAAGGGAAUUAUUAUUGUCCCCAUUUUAAGGAUAGAGGAAUGCUAGAGCAGAGACGUAUAGGAACGCAGCUUGGCUCCCGGAGCUAACCUCUUGGAGAGCAGAGAUUCCCAGGAUUUGGACCCUGAGGCCCAUUCUCUUAAGCACUAUACUUCCUUGCUCUCUUUCUUCUGCCUGAGCACUGCCAUUAGGCUCCUGUGCUCACAUGUUCCAGCCACCCAGGCAGGGCCAGCCGAAGUCAUCUGUGAGAUUUUUUAGCAAACACACAGCCCUAAAUACAGCCUGGUGGCCCAUGUGACUCUAGAGGCUCCAGACCACCUGAGUUGGCCACCAUUCACUGAGGACACUGUUUCUCCCUCCUUGGCUC
Molecule: long non-coding RNA, 1728 nt
Organism: Equus caballus (horse)
Lineage: Eukaryota; Metazoa; Chordata; Mammalia; Perissodactyla; Equidae
Source: Ensembl